Molecule: long non-coding RNA, 192 nt
Organism: Sander lucioperca (pikeperch)
Lineage: Eukaryota; Metazoa; Chordata; Actinopteri; Perciformes; Percidae
Exons: 2
Source: RefSeq, a predicted model, not a curated record
AUGAGAAAUGCAUCAUUCCAGGGUGCAGAGUAUAAAAUAAAUCACUGCACUGCCUUCCAAAAGAAAAAGAUGUCGCUGACAAUUCGUACUGAAUCAGGGGCUAUACGAUGCUGGAGUCGUAUCAAAACUACUGUUGAUGAAAGGAUCCAUUCCAACUAUUCGGGACCCUCUCCCAAGCAUUGAAACGGUGAG